UUUGUGGCCAAUGUCUAAUCCCUUGCUCAAAUUACCAGUGAUGCCGUGGACUUGUGAUAGUUCACUAUUUGUCUGCUAGGUGAGCAGAUAUGGAAGAGAGCAAAGCUCUUCCCCAAAACGUAGAUGGAUAGGAUAAGAUGUGGACUAGGGUAAUCUUUUAUAUGAAACAGAGUAUUCAUUGAUGGUUUAUUGCAUUGCCUCUAGUGAGAUUCAUAGGCAUCUUCACCAAAUGUAUAUCAUAUGAUAACCAGUUGGGUUUGGGUUAAGUCUAGAACUGCUUUCUACUUUUGCUUUUUGCAUUUUUUGGCUAGGAUGAGUUGUACAGGGCAAGUAAAACAAAUCUUUAGCUUCUGAGAAUUCCCUAUUUCUUUUUCUGAAGAAUUUUGUCAGCUCUACUUGAUUGUACCAAAGCAUCAAACUUGUAUAAAUAUGUGAAGCAAUGCCCCUAGAAAUGUGCAGAUGUUACUAUUAGCUAGUAGUUGCACUUCCUUAGAGUCUUCUAUUAGAUGUUUUCGUACCAAAGUUCAGCAGUAUAACAGUCUGACGCCAUAUAUUUAUUUAACUAAAAUAUGGCUUGUGAUAUUUUGCUGCAUUUGAGGUAAUGUUCUUAAUAACAUUAAGAAAAUGAUAGUAAUUAUCCCCUUUCUUUUUAAUGCAUAUUUAAAUGGAAAUGGUUUUUUGUGAUCAAGAUGAAAAGAAUAGAGCACAUAUUUCGAAGUGGCUAAGGUUAUCCAUUAGAAUGUAUGGAAGUUUUGAGAAGUCAUUGGACGAGCUGAUAUCCUUUUUCAGAGAAGUCAAUGCCCGUUUUGAGUUCCUUUAUUAAUAUUUCCUUUCUUUUUAGACUGUUUGGUUUUCUUGUGCAUGGACUGUGGUCUAAUGGUGUUACAUAAGGUCUUUUCUCUGGCUUCACUUGUUUGCAGGACUUGGUUUUCAAGAAAUCAUGCUCAUUCCUUGAUGUUACUUAAAAAAAACAUAUUAUUUAUCACUAAGCAAAACAAUACAUGUUGACUUGUCACAUUGUGCUGAAAACAAAGUUUCAACUGAGCAAAUCACUCAAAAUCGUCUUGUAGCAUACAAAUAUGAAAAUCUUCCUCACACUCCUUUUGUGAACGAUUUCUGUCUUUUUUCAUAUGAUAAUAAAGCAAAUGAGAGGUUUAUAUUUGAUCGAUUUUUGUCUUUUUCUUCUAUAAUUUCCUGGCCUUAUGAUGCGGGGAACCUUAUUGAACCCCAUAUUCUUUUAGGAAAAUAUAGUCAUUUUUCUCAUGUUGUACUAGCUGAACUGUAUUGUUCUUUUAUAUAUGUGCUGCUAUAAUUUUACCGGGUUAUUAGACAUUAUCUUAACCCACACGACUUGUACCUCUUUGAUUAUGUUCAUCAUUGCUAGACAUUUUUUUGUUGUAGUGACUCCAGCCUCUUCAGUUCAGUGCUUAGAAAUGUGUGUUUUCCAUUUCUUUUAGGCAAAUGCAUGACCAAGUUGUAUUAAAGAGUGAAAAAUGAAGAAACAUGUUGCUAUUGUAUCAUCUGAUGUUGUCACUGUAAACAUCUUAUCUUGCUGGUUACUUUCAAAGUAAUUAGUUAUUUUGAGAAUGAAAAAUAUUAUGUGGUUCUGGCUAUAAAUUCUUAUGCUGUGAUUGUGUUCAUUUAUGCUAUGUUUGGAAACAUAAAUUUGAAAAUUUAGAUUUGGAAUUCAUUUGUAACCUCAGAGUACUCUUCUGUUUUAAUUGCUGUAAUGUGGGUUUUAAGAUCCAUUGCAAUUACAUGUCAAGCUUUUCACUUUGCCAGAACCCCAAAGGCAUUAUUGUUUGAGAUUUUUGAUGGAAUUAUUUGAUAUGUACUUGAAAUAUUUUGCUAACAGCCUAAAAGUUAAAAAUGAAUUAUUUGCUAACAUUUUGCAAAAGGCUCACACGGACCUCGACAAAAUGGGUCUACUGCAGUUUCACAAGACAUUAACAGUCUGAAACAUAUUGCAUUGAUGGAGGCCAAGAUGAAAAAACUCUCUGAUUUACUGAGUAAGAGAAUUGAACAAACAAAAGAAAAUGUGGUAAAGAAGCUAGCAUUGACGUAUGAGGAAAUGGAACAAGAAUGUAAGGAGAUCAAGGAUGGUUUUGCUGAGGGGAAAGACCUGGUUGUGUCUGUUAUGUCUGCAAUGGGGGAAGAGCAGAUCUGUGCUCUCAAAGACGUUGGUCCUAAGUAGUUUCAAAUUCAUUUAUUGCAAAUCUUAGAUGGAACCAUAAAAGACUUUGGCAGUACUAAAUGCGGUUUUGAUGUUUUGUUUUGGGUUUGGAUAGAAAAAAGAGAACAACAAUAUAACUAGUUUCUUGUUGUGCUAUGGAUUACUGUUUUGCUUUUCUUUUUCAAUAAUUUUUAUUAUCUCGUCUUUA
Molecule: long non-coding RNA, 2381 nt
Organism: Gossypium raimondii (Peruvian cotton)
Lineage: Eukaryota; Viridiplantae; Streptophyta; Magnoliopsida; Malvales; Malvaceae
Exons: 3
Source: RefSeq, a predicted model, not a curated record